This 555-nucleotide ribosomal RNA is filed under the name Globigerinella calida. RNAcentral describes it as "bacterial SSU rRNA". It matches the Rfam family "Eukaryotic small subunit ribosomal RNA", at positions 1292 to 1601 of the family's 1831-position model. Lineage: Eukaryota; Foraminifera; Rotaliida; Globigerinidae. The record is from RNAcentral.
UCUUAGUUCGUGGAGUGAUCUGUCUGCUUAAUUGCGUUUCAAAAGUAUUUUGAUUUAUCAAACGAGUCUACGAAGGACCUAUUCAUACAAGCACUUCAUUUAUGAUUUGUUUGGAAUUUGGUCUUUCGGCUCAAUUAACGCAACGGACGUGAUUGCAAGUCCUUGUUGAACUUCUGUAUAUAUCAUUACAUUCUUAACUGAGUGUAUCUAAGAUAAUAGAGUUCGCUUUCUAUUGGUGACGGGAUCUCCUCAUUCGUGGAGUGAUCUAAUCCUCUAGGAAAACUCGGGCGACCGCUGUAAUACUUUCUUUUUAAAACAGAGGAAGAUUGCGGCAAUAACAGGUCUGUGAUGCCCUCAGAUGUCCCGGGCCGCACACGUGCUACAUUGAUUAGCGCAGUGCGCAUACUUUCAAUAUGAUACAUUGGUUUUGGUAGUAAGCUAUUCAUCUGAUGGAUAUGCUACUCUCCAUACCAAUACUAUCUAGUCUGAAAAGACUGGGUAAUCUAUUGUAAGUGCUGGUUCCUCUUCCCGUUGAGCAUUUUAAUAAUGGUCUCU